AUGCAUGGCUUCAAUAUAGCAAUGUUGUCGAGGCAAAUUUGGAGGCUCAUUCAACACCCGGAAUCCCUUUGUGCAAAGGUGCUGCAAGCUCGUUACUACCCGAGUGGCCAAAUUCUAGAGGCUGUUCCUAGGGAGGGAAUCUCUUACUCCUGGCGUAGCUUACUCCAUGGACUACACCUUUUC
This 183-nucleotide ribosomal RNA is filed under the name Triticum aestivum (bread wheat). RNAcentral's name for it is "partial small subunit ribosomal RNA". Lineage: Eukaryota; Viridiplantae; Streptophyta; Magnoliopsida; Poales; Poaceae. The record is from RNAcentral.